Molecule: long non-coding RNA, 448 nt
Organism: Lagopus muta (rock ptarmigan)
Lineage: Eukaryota; Metazoa; Chordata; Aves; Galliformes; Phasianidae
Exons: 3
Source: RefSeq, a predicted model, not a curated record
GAGCCUUGAGUGACCAGGCUUGCAGCUAGCUACUCAUGACUAAGUGCCUAAAUUUAGAUGUUUAUCAUCAUCAGUGUUGCAAGAUACUAUAGAAUUUAUAUCGUAACUAUGGCUUCUUGUUAAAGUUCACCUCAAAAAGCCUGUGCACUGGUGGUACCAUCACACUUCACUGCAGAAAAAGCAACACCGCUUUCUGUGAAGUGAUUUGCCACCUCUUCCUCUACAGCCGUCUGGAGGCAUGUGUGAGCUGAGUGGUGUUGAGAGUUGUUCACCAACGCCAGGAAGAGGGUGUUGAUCUUUACCAUAAGCAAGAUGCCAGAUCAAACCCCAAGAUGCUGAUACCUGAAGGAGCUGGUGGAUACCUGUCAGGCCAGGCCAUGUUCAAGUCUCACAACUCCAUUUCUUGACAUUGGAUGCUGAAGAGAUAACCUGUCUCAGAAAAAGGCAG